CACACUGUUGGACUCAACUUUUUAGCUCCACUAGAGGGCGACAUUAUCAAGUAGGCGGUGCACUACUUCUGCACUGUGUUCAACCAUUCUGUCAAUAAUAACUGCUGCUGUGAAGAGAACAAUUGUCACACUGAAUGUUGAACAUCAGCUAGUUUCUCCUGUUGAUUUAAACCUUGUUGUAGAGAUGGAACAUUGGCUGUGGAUUAUUCUUGCUGCUCUUUUCUUUGGACUAAUAGCUGGAGACACAAUCUCUCCUGUAGGAGAUAAAGUCAGUGGAAGAGAAGGAGAAUCUGUCACACUCAAAUGUCGAUAUGACACAGCUGAAAGCUAUAUUAGGCUUUACUGGUACAGACAUUCUGACUGACAAACCAACUGGAUGAUGCUUCAAACACAAGACCAUUUUACAGACUAAAAGACUUUUCAACGAUUAAAGUUUUGUUAGUUGCAGCUUUAAUCAUGUUUUCUGUACCAAGAUUUCUUUAAACAUGUUUCACACUCACAACAGUUAGAAUGUCUGUACAGUGUGCAGUUUGGAUGUUUCAGGAAGUUGUUUCUCUACAGACUGAUUCAGUUGAGUUUUGUGCAGAUUCCUCCUUCAGUCUGACCUUCUUGGAUGAUGAUGACUUCAGCAUCACUGUCAUUUCUAAAGCUUCCAUCAGCCUGAAUGCAAACAGACCACAGCAAGAGGAGGAGCUACACAAUUCAUUUUGGAAGUGAAGAGCUGCUGUGUUCUCUCUGUUGUUCAUUCAGUACAAGUGGAAAUAAUGCAGCUCUCUUUAGUUUGGAUGAUGAUCUUCAUCUUUCAUACUGGAUCCUCUGAGGAUUUAGUGAAACCAUUUAAAGAUGUAAUGCUGGCUUUGGAAGGAGACACUGUGACUCUCUCCUGUAAAUAUUCAGUCUCUGUUGACUACCUCUACUGGUAUCAACAGAAGUCCAGUUCACCUCCACAGCUUCUCAUC
Molecule: long non-coding RNA, 959 nt
Organism: Dicentrarchus labrax (European seabass)
Lineage: Eukaryota; Metazoa; Chordata; Actinopteri; Moronidae
Exons: 3
Source: RefSeq, a predicted model, not a curated record